Molecule: ribosomal RNA, 275 nt
Filed under: uncultured soil bacterium
Lineage: Bacteria
Description: partial 16S ribosomal RNA
Rfam family: Bacterial small subunit ribosomal RNA
Source: RNAcentral
AGAAUCAACGCUGGCGGCGUGCCUCAGACAUGCAAGUCGAACGCGAAAGUCCCCUUCGGGGGGCAAGUAGAGUGGCGCACGGGGUGAGUAACACGUAGGUAAUCUACCUUUGGAUGGGGAAUAACAACCGGAAACGGUUGCUAAUACCGCAUAAUGCAGCGGCACCUAAUGGUGACAGUUGGUUAAAGCGGGGGAUCGAAAGACCUCGCGUCUGAAGAGGAGCCUGCGGCGGAUUAGCUAGUUGGUAGGGUAACGGCCUACCAAGGCUACGAUCC